Picea glauca (white spruce) is the source of this 124-nucleotide non-coding RNA. The record is from Rfam. Lineage: Eukaryota; Viridiplantae; Streptophyta; Pinopsida; Pinales; Pinaceae.
UCUUCUAUACAUUCCUACAAUGUUAAUGCACCAUAUCCCAUUAAAACUAUGUAGUUAAGUGUGCUUGGGCUAGAUUAGUUAUUCAAUGGGUGACAUCUGAGGAAAUCCUAGUGUUUUUCAUUGC